AAGGGUUAGGCUGUUCGCCUAUUAAAGCGGUACGCGAGCUGGGUUCAGAACGUCGUGAGACAGUUCGGUCUCCUAUCCACUACGCGCGUUGAAGAUUGAAGGAAUCUAUCCCUAGUACGAGAGGACCGGGAUGGACGAACCUCUAGUGUACCAGUUGUCCUGCCAAGGGCAUUGCUGGGUAGCCACGUACGGUUCGGAUAAGCGCUGAAAGCAUCUAAGCGCGAAGUCGAUCCUGAGAUUAAUCUUCGUUAUGAGACACCUGAGAGACGAUCAGGUUGAUAGGCACUAGGUGUAAGCGUGGCAACACGUUCAGCCGAGGUGUACUAAUAAGUCCACU
RNAcentral lists this ribosomal RNA (337 nucleotides) under Candidatus Uhrbacteria bacterium CG_4_10_14_0_2_um_filter_41_7. Its description in RNAcentral is "bacterial LSU rRNA". It matches the Rfam family "Bacterial large subunit ribosomal RNA", at positions 2567 to 2912 of the family's 2925-position model. Lineage: Bacteria; Candidatus Uhriibacteriota. The record is from RNAcentral.